This 810-nucleotide long non-coding RNA is filed under the name Homo sapiens (human). RNAcentral describes it as "long non-coding RNA NONHSAT032619.2". Lineage: Eukaryota; Metazoa; Chordata; Mammalia; Primates; Hominidae. The record is from RNAcentral.
GAAGGAUGAUAAAGACUAUGCUUUAAAACAAAUAGAAGGAACUGGGAUCUCUAUGUCGGCAUGUAGAGAAAUAGCAUUACUUCGAGAGCUUAAGCAUCCAAACGUCAUUUCUCUUCAAAAGGUGUUUCUGUCUCAUGCUGAUAGGAAGGUGUGGCUUCUGUUUGACUAUGCUGAACAUGACCUCUGGCAUAUAAUCAAGUUUCACAGAGCUUCUAAAGCAAACAAGAAGCCAGUUCAGUUACCUCGGGGAAUGGUGAAGUCACUAUUAUAUCAGAUCCUAGAUGGUAUUCACUACCUGCAUGCUAACUGGGUGUUGCACAGAGAUUUGCUGACAUGGGCUUUGCCCGAUUAUUUAAUUCACCUUUGAAGCCUUUAGCAGAUUUGGAUCCAGUGGUUGUUACAUUCUGGUACCGAGCCCCUGAACUACUUCUUGGAGCAAGGCAUUAUACCAAAGCUAUUGAUAUUUGGGCUAUAGGGUGUAUAUUUGCAGAACUACUAACGUCAGAACCAAUAUUUCACUGUCGACAAGAGGACAUCAAAACUAGUAAUCCUUAUCACCAUGACCAGCUGGACAGAAUAUUCAAUGUAAUGGGAUUUCCUGCAGAUAAAGAUUGGGAAGAUAUAAAAAAGAUGCCUGAACAUUCAACAUUAAUGAAAGAUUUCAGAAGAAAUACGUAUACCAACUGCAGCCUUAUCAAGUAUAUGGAAAAACAUAAAGUUAAACCAGAUAGUAAAGCAUUCCACUUGCUUCAGAAGCUGCUUACCAUGGACCCAAUAAAGCGAAUUACCUCAGAACAGGCUAUGCAGGAC